This 1369-nucleotide ribosomal RNA is filed under the name uncultured bacterium. RNAcentral describes it as "bacterial SSU rRNA". It matches the Rfam family "Bacterial small subunit ribosomal RNA", at positions 28 to 1381 of the family's 1533-position model. The record is from RNAcentral.
GAUGAACGCUAGCGAUAGGCUUAACACAUGCAAGUCGAGGGGUAACGUGUUGGAAGCUUGCUUCCGAUGACGACGACCGGCGGAUGGGUGCGUAACGCGUAUGCAACUUGCCUCACAGUGGAGAAUAACCCGGAGAAAUCCGGACUAAUGUUCCAUACACUCUUAAGUACGCCUGUACAUGAGAGGAAAGAUUCAUCGCUGUGAGAUAGGCAUGCGUCCUAUUAGGUAGUUGGUGAGGUAACGGCUCACCAAGCCGACGAUAGGUAGGGGUGCUGAGAGGCAGAUCCCCCACAUUGGGACUGAGACACGGCCCAAACUCCUACGGGAGGCAACAGUGAGGAAUAUUGGUCAAUGGAGGAAACUCUGAACCAGCCAAGUCGCGUGAAGGAAGAAUGUCCUAAGGAUUGUAAACUUCUUUAGCGAGCGAGUAAGGACUUCCACGUGAUGGGAGUUUGAAAGUAGCUCGAGAAUAAGUAUCGGCUAACUCCGUGCCAGCAGCCGCGGUAAUAUGGAGGAUACGAGCGUUAUCCGGAUUUAUUGGGUUUAAAGGGUGCGCAGGUGGUCUUGCAAGUCAGUGGUGAAAAGCUGAGACUCAACCUCAGCCUUGCCCCGUGAAACUGUAAGACUUGAGAGUACAUGAUGUGGGCGGAAUGCGUAGUGUAGCGGUGAAAUGCAUAGAUAUUACGCAGAACUCCCGAUGCGAAAGGCAGCUCACAAAGGUAUAUCUGACACUGAGGCACGAAAGCGUGGGGAGCGAACAGGAUUAGAUACCCUGGUAGUCCACGCCGUAAACGAUGAUUACUCGAAGUAUGCGAUAUGACAGUAUGCUUCCAAGCGAAAGUGAUAAGUAAUCCACCUGGGGAGUACGCCGGCAACGGUGAAACUCAAAGGAAUUGACGGGGGCCCGCACAAGCGGAGGAACAUGUGGUUUAAUUCGAUGAUACGCGAGGAACCUUACCCGGGAUUGAAAUGUAUGUGGACCUCUUGGGAAACCGAGAGGGUUCUCUUCGGAGACACAUAUGUAGGUGCUGCAUGGUUGUCGUCAGCUCGUGCCGCGAGGUGUCGGCUUAAGUGCCAUAACGAGCGCAACCCUUAUCGUCAGUUACUAACAGGUCGUGCUGAGGACUCUGGCGAGACUGCCGUCGUAAGGCGAGAGGAAGGUGGGGAUGACGUCAAAUCAGCACGGCCCUUACAUCCGGGGCGACACACGUGUUACAAUGGUAGGGACAGAGAGUAGCCACUCGGUGACGAGGAGCGGAUCUCGAAACCCUAUCUCAGUUCGGAUCGGAGUCUGCAACUCGACUCCGUGAAGCCGGAUUCGCUAGUAAUCGCGCAUCAGCCAUGGCGCGGUGAAUACGUUCCCGGGCCU